CUCUCCCUUCCCCCUCCCCUGAAACUAAAAGGAAUGUUCAAAGCCUGUUUUUCUGUGACCAGCAGACCUUAUCUAUGCUCCCAAUUCCAAUUCCUUGUAAACACAGUUUGUACAAUCCUGAGAGAUCCUGUCUCCUUUGCCAUGCCGCUGCAAGGUCAUAAAGUAGAUAAAACUUAAGUUGCAAUUCCGGUUUUCCUCAAGAUCUGAGACAUGUUAAUUGUCUUUGUUUCUCGCUCUGGUAACAUCUUCCCGCUGCACAUAUUUCCCGCCUUAAAGAGUUUAAAAGGUGAUCAAAAAAUCUAACACUGGCCACCCGCUCGGGACACCUUCCACGCUGUGGAAGCUUUGUACUGUCAUUCUGCUCAGUAAAGCCUACAGCCUUUUUUCUCUCGGUCGGGUCCACGUCUCUCUCUCUUGCCGCGGGCUGCCGCCACCCCAACCCUUUGGCGUGGCUAAGGCAACAACCUUUGGUGUUACCCUGGUUUGCAAAGAGGAAUGCCCUCUCCAAACAUGCCUAUCGAAUAAGGUCCUGUUCAUGAUGCAAAUCUCUAUGUGAUCUUCCUCCGGAAUUCUUGAGCCCAUUCCUGGAACUGUGUGAUAACUUGCCCAGAAAAUCUUCUUGUGGAAUCUGUCUUUACAUGGAAAAGACUUGGCAAUAUUUGUACAGCAACUGGAAGAAAGGUCUUUGCUGAGAUAUACAAAGAGGCAGAAUGUGUGUGGAUCACCGAUUAGACAAGGCGAAUAGGAGCAGAAUAGAAGAGGAAUGGAAUAGAACUCAAGAUGAUAAAACAUACUGUGUCCAGAAUUUAUUCCUUCCAGUGGGCUGUUGGUCUCACUGACUUUAAGAAUGAAGCUGCGGACCCUCGU
This 867-nucleotide long non-coding RNA is filed under the name Homo sapiens (human). RNAcentral's name for it is "HSALNT0310123". Lineage: Eukaryota; Metazoa; Chordata; Mammalia; Primates; Hominidae. The record is from RNAcentral.